This 254-nucleotide ribosomal RNA is filed under the name uncultured bacterium. RNAcentral describes it as "partial 16S ribosomal RNA". It matches the Rfam family "Bacterial small subunit ribosomal RNA", at positions 524 to 776 of the family's 1533-position model. The record is from RNAcentral.
GACGAAGGGGGGCUAGCGUUGUUCGGAAUUACUGGGCGUAAAGCGCGUGUAGGCGGUUGUUCAAGUCAGGUGUGAAAGCCUUGAGCUCAACUCAAGAAAUGCACUUGAUACUGGAUGACUAGAGGACCGGAGAGGAUAGUGGAAUUCCCAGUGUAGUGGUGAAAUACGUAGAGAUUGGGAAGAACACAAGUGGCGAAGGCGGCUAUCUGGACGGUUUCUGACGCUAAGACGCGAAAGCGUGGGGAGCAAACAGG